This 232-nucleotide ribosomal RNA is filed under the name uncultured bacterium. Its description in RNAcentral is "partial 16S ribosomal RNA". It matches the Rfam family "Bacterial small subunit ribosomal RNA", at positions 99 to 334 of the family's 1533-position model. The record is from RNAcentral.
CGGACGGGUGAGUAAUGUCUGGGAAACUGCCUGAUGGAGGGGGGUAACUACUGGAAACGGUAGCUAAUACCGCAUAACGUCGCAAGACCAAAGAGGGGGACCUUCGGGCCUCUUGCCAUCAGAUGUGCCCAGAUGGGAUUAGCUAGUAGGUGGGGUAACGGCUCACCUAGGCGACGAUCCCUAGCUGGUCUGAGAGGAUGACCAGCCACACUGGAACUGAGACACGGUCCAG